This 420-nucleotide ribosomal RNA is filed under the name uncultured bacterium. RNAcentral describes it as "bacterial SSU rRNA". It matches the Rfam family "Bacterial small subunit ribosomal RNA", at positions 357 to 774 of the family's 1533-position model. The record is from RNAcentral.
AGGAAUAUUGGACAAUGGUCGCAAGACUGAUCCAGCCAUGCCGCGUGCAGGAAGACGGCCCUAUGGGUUGUAAACUGCUUUUGUACCAGAGAAAACCUAUCUACGUGUAGAUAGCUGAUAGUAUGGUAAGAAUAAGCAUCGGCUAACUUCGUGCCAGCAGCCGCGGUAAGACGAAGGAUGCAAGCGUUAUCCGGAUUCAUUGGGUUUAAAGGGUGCGUAGGCGGGCUUGUAAGUCAGUGGUGAAAUCUCUCAGCUUAACUGAGAAACUGCCAUUGAUACUGCAGGCCUAGAGUAUAGAUGACGUUGGCGGAAUAUGACAUGUAGUGGUGAAAUACUUAGAUAUGUCAUAGAACACCGAUUGCGAAGGCAGCUAACGAGACUAUAACUGACGCUGAGGCAUGAAAGUGCGGGGAUCAAACA